This is a long non-coding RNA of Sebastes umbrosus (honeycomb rockfish), 757 nucleotides long. RefSeq lists it as uncharacterized. Lineage: Eukaryota; Metazoa; Chordata; Actinopteri; Perciformes; Sebastidae. The record is from RefSeq and is a predicted model, not a curated record. The transcript is spliced from 4 exons.
UUCAUUUAAACAGCGUCACGCGCUGCCCACCUGUUUGCUCCGCCACACCUGCACCCUCAGCUGCAAUCAAUCAAUUACCGCAGUGAGUCUCGCCACCACCUCGCCUGUAGAGCAGCGGGCUACAUGAGCUAAACAAAACCUGCAAACAUGUUGACGUUGCUCCAGGACGGUGUUGUGGAGGAGUUAAAGGUGUUUACAGAUGUUGUCGCGCGUGUUCAGACUCCGUUUGUCGGCUGUUUCAAACACGCACCUCAUGGCGGAAGAGGAACUUCUGUCAUAUUCACCUCCAUGUGACCGACUCUGCGGAAGUAACUUCUUCUCACAGCUUCACUUCACUGAGAAACACGUGAAAUCCAAGAAUUGAUCCGUCCAUCCUGAGAAGUGUGAAGCAGUUGUUCCAAGAGGCCUCAAAGGAAAACAAAUCAGACUUCAAGGAUUGCGGAAAACAAGUAAAGCAGCAAGUCUCGCUUGGUCCACAGAAGCUUAAGCCUCCACAUUCACUCCCAUCUGAUUGGCAAUCACUGCUGCCACUGAAGCUCCGACAGUCUCAUGUCCUGCCAUCCAAAAGCAGGUGUCCACUGUGAAUGUGAGGGGAAAGAAGGCAGAAGUCUAUAUACAAGACCAUCAAGAUGCUCAAUUCCAGAGGAACCUGCAGCCCCUACAGUACAGUAGGGAUUGAGGGUUGGUUUGGACCGUAUCCGUUCCUUUAAUCUCGGGGCUGAAGGCGACUUUGGAUGAAGCUCCUGACUCCUCCGAU